GGUUAAUACCUUCCCCUACUA
Molecule: transfer RNA, 21 nt
Filed under: Crocidura beata (Mindanao shrew)
Lineage: Eukaryota; Metazoa; Chordata; Mammalia; Eulipotyphla; Soricidae
Description: partial tRNA-Met
Source: RNAcentral